CGGAACGUGCCCAGUAGCGGGGGAUAACUACGCGAAAGCGUAGCUAAUACCGCAUACGCCCUACGGGGGAAAGCAGGGGAUCGCAAGACCUUGCACUAUUGGAGCGGCCGAUAUCGGAUUAGCUAGUUGGUGAGGUAAUGGCUCACCAAGGCGACGAUCCGUAGCUGGUUUGAGAGGACGACCAGCCACACUGGGACUGAGACACGGCCCAGACUCCUACGGGAGGCAGCAGUGGGGAAUUUUGGACAAUGGGGGAAACCCUGAUCCAGCCAUCCCGCGUGUGCGAUGAAGGCCUUCGGGUUGUAAAGCACUUUUGGCAGGAAAGAAACGGCGCGUGCUAAUACCAUGCGCAACUGACGGUACCUGCAGAAUAAGCACCGGCUAACUACGUGCCAGCAGCCGCGGUAAUACGUAGGGUGCAAGCGUUAAUCGGAAUUACUGGGCGUAAAGCGUGCGCAGGCGGUUCGGAAAGAAAGAUGUGAAAUCCCAGGGCUCAACCUUGGAACUGCAUUUUUAACUACCGGACUAGAGUGUGUCAGAGGGAGGUGGAAUUCCACGU
This 559-nucleotide ribosomal RNA is filed under the name uncultured bacterium. Its description in RNAcentral is "bacterial SSU rRNA". It matches the Rfam family "Bacterial small subunit ribosomal RNA", at positions 119 to 674 of the family's 1533-position model. The record is from RNAcentral.